This 243-nucleotide ribosomal RNA is filed under the name Pseudoalteromonas agarivorans. Its description in RNAcentral is "partial 23S ribosomal RNA". It matches the Rfam family "Bacterial large subunit ribosomal RNA", at positions 2708 to 2925 of the family's 2925-position model. The record is from RNAcentral. Lineage: Bacteria; Pseudomonadati; Pseudomonadota; Gammaproteobacteria; Alteromonadales; Pseudoalteromonadaceae.
GCUGGUGUUCGGGUUGUCAUGCCAAUGGCAUUGCCCGGUAGCUACGUUCGGAACUGAUAAGCGCUGAAAGCAUCUAAGCGCGAAGCAGGCCUCGAGAUGAUUUCUCACUAGACUUUUAAAGUCUCUGAAGGGCCGUUGAAGACUACAACGUUGAUAGGCAAGAUGUGGAAGUGGUGUGAGCCAUUAAGCUAACUUGUACUAAUUACCCGUGAGGCUUAACCAUACAACGCCAAACGCGUUUUG